Erinaceus europaeus (western European hedgehog) is the source of this 107-nucleotide small nuclear RNA. Lineage: Eukaryota; Metazoa; Chordata; Mammalia; Eulipotyphla; Erinaceidae. The record is from Ensembl.
GUGUUUGCUUCAGCAGCACAUAUACUAAAAUUGAAACGAUACAGAGAAGAUUAGCAUGACCUCUGCACAAGGAUGAUAUGCAAAUUCAUGAAGCGUUUCUUAUUAAA